Non-coding RNA from Podarcis lilfordi (Lilford's wall lizard), 73 nucleotides. Lineage: Eukaryota; Metazoa; Chordata; Lepidosauria; Squamata; Lacertidae. The record is from the annotation of a GenBank genome assembly.
GGAGACAUAGCUCAGUGGUAGAGCAUCUGUCUUGCAAGCAGAAGGUCCCAAGCUCAAUCCCCGAUGGCCUCCA